AACUCGAUUGGUAUGUGAUUAUUUCUCUAAUAAUUGCACUUGUUCUAAAUUGAGAUAGUUUAUUUGUAUGCAGUAGUUUUAUGAUUCAGAAGACCAUGCCAUCAUUCCAUUUCUGUCUCAGUUUCUUUAGAUAGGCUUUCAUUUUUGCCAAGUUCAUGAAUUUUAAAUAAUGUUUUUAAUGCUAUUUAAAAAUGUCAUGUAUCGUAUAAACAUUGUCCUGUUUCUUCAAGAUUGUGUAUCAUAAAGCAUUCUUAGUGGGCUUUCUUUUAUGUUUUCAUCUAGUAUAUUAUUUAUAAGAAUAAUUAUUAUAAUAAUUCAACAUAUAGCAUUUUGAUUUUGUCUUGCUCGUUUUUUUUUCCCGAAACAUAUAACAUAUAAUCUAAGCUGCUUCUUGAUGUAGUGGUUGAAUACUCUAUUUUGUUUUUGAUAUUUUCUUUCUAUUUAUGUGUUGUUAAGUGCACGUGCAUGGGUUGCUUUUAAUUACCCUAGUGAAAGUCUUUUUGCCUUGUAAUUGAAGAUUUGAUCAUUUUCAUAUGGGGUGGAAAGGAAGGUUUGAACAACAGAUAAAAAUUACCAGUUCUCUGUUAUAUUAAAAGUAAGGCAAGACACCUCUAGUUUGACUUUUUUUUUUUUUUUACUUGGAAGAUAUUCUUACUGUAAAUAUUGUCUAACAAAUUCAAUUGUUUUAAUGAAAAAAAUAUGGAUUAGGAUAUAUAAUUCAUGUGAUAUAUGUUAAGUUGUAAUUUUUGUCAUUAUCUUAUAUAUGUUUCAUGUGAGGCAGGCAAUGGAAGCUAUAGGUGUUACUCUUGCAGUAUUGUGCUCAAAUAAUAAGCUUUAUACAUCAGAUGCCUAACAUAUGGUUUUACACUAUGAUAUUAUGAGGACUUGGCGGGUGGAAGUUGUAGGACAUAGUAAAACGAAGUGGCUAGUAGUCCUUAAAAUAAGUCUUUCAGUAUGUGCGCAAAUGUUAAGCUGUAGGUGUUACUUUUUGUUCUUUUACAGUAAAUUUUGGUUUCGUAUGACUUUGAAAAUCUACAAGCAUGUAUUGUCUAUUUUGAAAGUAGUUCAUAAAAUGUUCUUAAACUAAAUGUUUAGUUCUCUUUUAGGUAAGAGAACAUGUUGUAGCAAAUCUAGCAGAUUUUGAGAAGGGUGGGGAUGAAGCUAAAGACUUCCGUGAUAAAGGCUUAUAAGGAAGUAAAUACUGAUACUUGUAUUUAAUGUGGGUCAUAUGUUUAGAAUACUAAUAUAAGUUGAGUCUCAGAUUGAUUUUGUUCUUCAAGACUGGGCCCACGGUCCUUCGAAGCUACAACACUCUUCAAUUCUGAAAUCUGUUUUGGGAAUUUAAUUCGUUGUUAUUGUAUUAUCGGAAAUUUUCUUAAAAAAUAAACAUUUAUUGUACAACUUUGAUAAUUAAAUAAAAUAUAAUUUAAUCUACA
Molecule: long non-coding RNA, 1436 nt
Organism: Humulus lupulus (European hop)
Lineage: Eukaryota; Viridiplantae; Streptophyta; Magnoliopsida; Rosales; Cannabaceae
Exons: 2
Source: RefSeq, a predicted model, not a curated record